GUCGAGAAUCUUUCACAAUGGGGGCAACCCUGAUGGAGCGACGCCGCGUGGAGGAUAAGGUCUUCGGAUUGUAAACUCCUGUCAUGCGUGAACAAGGUUGCUUGGUUAAUACCUGGGCAAAUUGAUGGUAACGCAAGAGGAAGAGACGGCUAACUCUGUGCCAGCAGCCGCGGUAAUACAGAGGUCUCAAGCGUUGUUCGGAAUCACUGGGCGUAAAGGGUGCGUAGGUGGCGUGGUAAGUCAGAGGUGAAAGCCCGGGGCUCAACCUCGGAACUGCAUCCGAUACUGCCAUGCUAGAGUACUGGAGAGGUGACUAGAAUUCUCGGUGUAGCAGUGAAAUGCGUAGAUAUUGAGAGGAAUACCAAAGGCGUAGGCAGGUCACUGGACAGUUACUGACACUGAGGCACGAAGGCCAGGGGAGCGAACGGGAUUAGAAACCCCUGUAGUCC
RNAcentral lists this ribosomal RNA (449 nucleotides) under uncultured bacterium. RNAcentral's name for it is "partial 16S ribosomal RNA". It matches the Rfam family "Bacterial small subunit ribosomal RNA", at positions 354 to 796 of the family's 1533-position model. The record is from RNAcentral.